RNAcentral lists this non-coding RNA (25 nucleotides) under Rattus norvegicus (Norway rat). The record is from RNAcentral. Lineage: Eukaryota; Metazoa; Chordata; Mammalia; Rodentia; Muridae.
UGCAUGCACGUGGUGCACAGCCGCA